RNAcentral lists this ribosomal RNA (236 nucleotides) under uncultured bacterium. RNAcentral describes it as "partial 16S ribosomal RNA". It matches the Rfam family "Bacterial small subunit ribosomal RNA", at positions 97 to 334 of the family's 1533-position model. The record is from RNAcentral.
GGCGGACGGGUGAGUAAUACUUAGGAAUCUGCCCGUUAGUGGGGGACAACUCGAGGAAACUCGAGCUAAUACCGCAUACGCCCUACGGGGGAAAGCGGAGGACCUUUCGGGGCUUCGCGCUAAUGGAUGAGCCUAAGUCGGAUUAGCUUGUUGGUGAGGUAAAGGCUCACCAAGGCGACGAUCCGUAGCUGGUCUGAGAGGACGAUCAGCCACACUGGGACUGAGACACGGCCCAG